UGUUAAAAAUUUCAUCCAUUUAUACUGUUAAAAACUUGUGUGGCUGAUGGAAUAACCAAACAGUUACACUUGGCAUGCUAUGUGUAGCUCAUGCUGACAUACAAGGACCAGUUUUUAACAGUAAAAGUUGCUGGAAUUUUUAACA
Non-coding RNA from Gossypium hirsutum (cotton), 145 nucleotides. Lineage: Eukaryota; Viridiplantae; Streptophyta; Magnoliopsida; Malvales; Malvaceae. The record is from Rfam.